Molecule: unclassified non-coding RNA, 542 nt
Filed under: Zea mays
Lineage: Eukaryota; Viridiplantae; Streptophyta; Magnoliopsida; Poales; Poaceae
Description: misc RNA Zm00001eb307590
Source: RNAcentral
CACUUGUUCAACCUUUCAAAGAUGCAUGGCUUCUUCUAGGGGAAACAACAACGAGCACACACCCACGACGCCGCAGGCUAUGGAUGUCCUCGUGCUCCGCUUCUGACCCACCGCAGUACCGCACCUUGUAGCUCCCGGCGACCACACCCUCCUCGGCGAAGGCCUUCGGUUCUAGAUAUAGACCUGCUCCACAAAAGUGCGCGUCGCUGACUGCAACCUUCCGACGAAAGAGCCGGUCCAUGACGCCCUCCGACCCCGGCACGCGCUCCCGCACCAACACCGAUGGACCCGCAGCAGUCCACGCCGCCGCGCCCAAGCCGGACUACCCAACGCGGCGACUGUCUCCCUGCUCAGCGAUUUCACAGCAACCGCAAGCGUUGCCUGUCCCUUCCACCUUGGCGUCGCUGCCCUCCUCGGGCUCGGCAUGGGCGGGGAGCGAGGGCGGCACCGAGGUGGAUUGGAGCCAUGAAGGCCAUCGUCACGUGGGCCUCGUCGACGUCCUCGUCAUCAUGUUUACCGCGGGUGGGAAGCAGGGUCGGCAC